RNAcentral lists this ribosomal RNA (500 nucleotides) under uncultured bacterium. RNAcentral's name for it is "partial 16S ribosomal RNA". It matches the Rfam family "Bacterial small subunit ribosomal RNA", at positions 30 to 523 of the family's 1533-position model. The record is from RNAcentral.
AUUGAACGCUGGCGGAAUGCUUUACACAUGCAAGUCGAACGGCAGCACGGGGGCAACCCUGGUGGCGAGUGGCAAACGGGUGAGUAAUACAUCGGAACGUGCCCAGUCGUGGGGGAUAACGUAGCGAAAGUUACGCUAAUACCGCAUACGAUCUCAGGAUGAAAGCGGGGGACCGUAAGGCCUCGCGCGAUUGGAGCGGCCGAUGUCAGAUUAGGUAGUUGGUGAGGUAAAGGCUCACCAAGCCUGCGAUCUGUAGCUGGUCUGAGAGGACGACCAGCCACACUGGGACUGAGACACGGCGCAGACUCCUACGGGAGGCAGCAGUGGGGAAUUUUGGACAACGGGCGCAAGCCUGAUCCAGCCAUUCCGCGUGCAGGACGAAGGCCUUCGGGUUGUAAACUGCUUUUGUACGGAACGAAAAGCCUUGGGCUAAUACCCCGAGGUCAUGACGGUACCGUAAGAAUAAGCACCGGCUAACUACGUGCCAGCCGCCGCAGUAA